RNAcentral lists this ribosomal RNA (207 nucleotides) under uncultured bacterium. RNAcentral describes it as "partial 16S ribosomal RNA". It matches the Rfam family "Bacterial small subunit ribosomal RNA", at positions 568 to 774 of the family's 1533-position model. The record is from RNAcentral.
UGCGUAGGCGGUUCAUUAAGUCGGUUGUGAAAUCCCUGGGCUUAACCUGGGAACUGCAGUCGAUACUGGUGGACUAGAGUGCGGUAGAGGGUGGCGGAACUCCGGGUGUAGCGGUGAAAUGCGUAGAUAUCCGGAAGAACACCGAUGGCGAAGGCAACCACCUGGGCCUGCACUGACGCUGAGGUACGAAAGCGUGGGGAGCAAACA